GCCAGGCAUGGUGGCACAUGCCUGUAAUCCUAGCCACCAGGGAGGCUGAGGCAGGAGAAUUGUGAAUUCAGAGCCAGCCUCAGCAACUUAGUGCAGCCCUAAGCAACUUAUCGAGACCCUGUCUCUA
RNAcentral lists this small RNA (127 nucleotides) under Marmota monax (woodchuck). Lineage: Eukaryota; Metazoa; Chordata; Mammalia; Rodentia; Sciuridae. The record is from RNAcentral.